ACGGGAGGCAGCAGUGGGGAAUAUUGGGCAAUGGGCGAAAGCCUGACCCAGCAAUGCCGCGUGAAGGAAGAAGGUCUUCGGAUUGUAAACUUCUUUUAUGAGGGACGAAGGAAUUGACGGUACCUCAUGAAUAAGCCACGGCUAACUACGUGCCAGCAGCCGCGGUAAUACGUAGGUGGCAAGCGUUAUCCGGAUUUACUGGGUGUAAAGGGCGCGUAGGCGGGGAAGCAAGUCAGAUGUGAAAUCUAUGGGCUUAACUCAUAAACUGCAUUUGAAACUGUUUCUCUUGAGUGCUGGAGAGGUAGAUGGAAUUCCUAGUGUAGCGGUGAAAUGCGUAGAUAUUAGGAGGAACACCAGUGGCGAAGGCGGCUUACUGGACUGUAACUGACGUUGAGGCUCGAAAGCGUGGGGAGCAAACAGGAUUAGAUACCCUGGUA
Molecule: ribosomal RNA, 437 nt
Rfam family: Bacterial small subunit ribosomal RNA